Molecule: long non-coding RNA, 964 nt
Filed under: Helianthus annuus (common sunflower)
Lineage: Eukaryota; Viridiplantae; Streptophyta; Magnoliopsida; Asterales; Asteraceae
Description: hypothetical non coding rna
Source: RNAcentral
CCCAUCUAAAGGUUCUUCCGCCGUCACACCAAUCAAGCCAUUUUUCCUGACAUAACUCUUUAUCAUCUUUCCAAGAUCCUGUUCCAAACCCACCCAUCAGAUCUUUGAUUUUCAUCGGCAAUCACUUCAAAACAGUUUGAAGAAAUUUCACCUGUUUUACUUCAUCUCUGGCGAAAGUUGCAGGAAAGAGAAUUUAUUUCAGACGUUAAUACGGGCUUUAUUGUUGGAGUGGAUAUUGAGUUAGGAUUCUUAGGGUUGUUUGUAUCACUUCUACUCAAUUAAGUUAACGAAGGCUUUCGGUGAUGGGGACUAUCAGUUCUACUCAAUUAAGUUAAAGAGUUUGGUGACGGCGUGUUUAUCACUUCUACUCAACUAAGUUAAAAGAGGAAUUUGAUGACGAUUCGACUAUCACUUCCACUCAAUUAAGUUAAAAAAGGAUUUAGGUGAUGACUCGAUGGUGUUAUGGUUGAAGAGAUUUUGAUGACCACUUGACCUGACGAUGUUAUGGGCGAAGUGAAUAUUAAGUUGGACUUCGAAGACUACUUGACGGUAUUAUGGUUGAAGUGAAUAGAGUUAGAAUUCUCUGGAUGUCAUUUCCACUCAGCUAUGUUAAAGAAUGACUGAUGACAAAAAUAGUCAACCGUAUUAUGUAUAGUGACUAUUAUGUUAGAAAGUUUUUCUUUUUUUUGAACGAUGAAUAUUGGGUUAGAAUUCUCUGGCUUGUUUGGCAACGACUUUGAAACUACAAUCAAGUAAUGCGUGGAACUUGAAGGUGAUCGCUAAAUGUAAUCUGAUGUAAACAAGAUGUGAAUUGAAGUUGUGUUUGGGUGAGUUCUAAUCUUACAUGGCAAUUAUUCAUCAAGCCUUUGUAUGUUUGUCAAUCAAGCUUUAGUAAUUCCAUCAUGUGCAUGCUUUAUGUAUUAAUUGUUAGUUAUAUGGUUUAUAAUUCUGAUACUUUCCUAUU